GAUGAACGCUGGCGGCGUGCCUAAUACAUGCAAGUCGAGCGAACAGACGAGGAGCUUGCUCCUUCGACGUUAGCGGCGGACGGGUGAGUAACACGUAGGUAACCUACCUAUAAGACUGGGAUAACUUCGGGAAACCGGAGCUAAUACCGGAUAAUAUUUCGAACCGCAUGGUUCGAUAGUGAAAGAUGGCUUUGCUAUCACUUAUAGAUGGACCUGCGCCGUAUUAGCUAGUUGGUAAGGUAACGGCUUACCAAGGCAACGAUACGUAGCCGACCUGAGAGGGUGAUCGGCCACACUGGAACUGAGACACGGUCCAGACUCCUACGGGAGGCAGCAGUAGGGAAUCUUCCGCAAUGGGCGAAAGCCUGACGGAGCAACGCCGCGUGAGUGAUGAAGGUCUUCGGAUCGUAAAACUCUGUUAUUAGGGAAGAACAAACGUGUAAGUAAUUGUGCACGUCUUGACGGUACCUAAUCAGAAAGCCACGGCUAACUACGUG
Molecule: ribosomal RNA, 497 nt
Filed under: uncultured bacterium
Lineage: Bacteria
Description: partial 16S ribosomal RNA
Rfam family: Bacterial small subunit ribosomal RNA
Source: RNAcentral